Molecule: ribosomal RNA, 754 nt
Filed under: Physarum pezizoideum
Lineage: Eukaryota; Evosea; Eumycetozoa; Physariida; Physaraceae
Description: SSU rRNA
Rfam family: Eukaryotic small subunit ribosomal RNA
Source: RNAcentral
UGGCAAGUCGACCAAAGGCGAAAGCAGUCAUCAAGGGCAUGCCCAAUGAUCAAGAGCGAAAGUCAAGGGCUCGAAGACGAUCAGAUACCGUCGUAGUCUUGACUAUAAACGAUACAAACCAGGGAUAGGACUCUGUCCAUCUCGACUCCUUCUGGACCCACGAGAAAUCUCAAGUAUCUGGGUUCCGGGGGGAGUAUGGUUGCAAGGCUGAAACUUAAAGGAAUUGACGGAAGGGCACACAAAGAGUGGAACCUGCGGCUUAAUUUGACUCAACACGGGAAAACUCACCAGGUCAGGAUACAUGGAUGACAUCCAAGUUGAUAGACUUUGGUUAAUGAUGUAAGUGGUGGUGCAUGGCCGUUCGUAGUUCGUGGAUUGAUUCGUCUGGUCUAUUCCGAUAACGAGCGAGACCCUACUGUUCUUAGUACGGGGCACCGGCCAUUCCACGGUGGGCUGGGGGGCGGGCAGGAAGCCGCAAGGCGGAAUGCUCGUCUCACUCCCCCUGGUUAGCCGGGGCUUACCCAAUACAAUACUUCUUAGACAGAUCCUGGCCGACAAGGCCUAAUAAAUGGGUUAAUAACAGGUCAGUCAUGCCCUUAGAUGUUCUGGGCCGCACGCGCGUUACACUGGCAGAAACCAGCGAGUGCUUCCUCCGAAGCCCUGCCGGGCCCGAAAGGGCCCUGGCAAUCAGUAGGAGUUGCCUUGUCUGGGCCAGACUAUUGAUACUAUUGGUCUCUAACGAGGAAUUUUUGAG